GGGGACGGGGUGGGGGGAACGAGCAACACAGACAGCGCGGUCGGGUUUUGGGGGCAGCUGGAGGGAGGAUUCGGCACCUCCCAGAAGCUGAGGCACCGCGGAGCGUGGGCGCAGAGAAGAGCGAGUUAAACCUUGCGGGCUGUGCAGGAGGUCGGCGGCCGGACGCCAGCAGCUAAAAGAAUUGGCAAAUCACGUGACUUCCUACACUUUGAACCAUGGCACUGCCGUUCCGGAAGGACUUAACGGAGUAUAAGGACCUGGAUGAAGAUGAGCUCCUUGGCAAUCUGUCAGAAACAGAGCUGAAACAGCUUGAAACUGUCUUGGAUGAUCUGGACCCUGAGAAUGCCCUUCUGCCUGCAGGGUUUCGGCAGAAGAACCAGACAUCAAAGUCUGCCACGGGACCCUUUGAUAGAGAACAUCUCCUUUCUUACCUAGAGAAGGAAGCAUUGGAGCAUAAAGACCGGGAGGACUAUGUGCCCUACACUGGAGAGAAAAAAGGGAAAAUUUUUAUCCCCAAACAGAAGCCUGUGCAGACUUUUGCAGAAGAAAACAUAUCCCUUGAUCCAGAAUUAGAAGAAGCUUUGACAAGUGCCUCUGAUACAGAAUUGUGUGACCUUGCAGCUAUCCUUGGGAUGCACAGUCUGAUUACAAACACACAGUUCUGUGACGUGAUGGGAAGCAGUAAUGGUGUCGACCAAGAACAUUUUUCAAAUGUGGUAAAAGGUGAAACAAUUAUUCCGGUAUUUGAUGAGCCACCAAAUCCGACCAACGUUGAGGAGAGUUUAAAGAGAAUUAAGGAAAAUGAUGCCCGUCUUGUUGAAGUUAAUUUGAAUAAUAUAAAAAACAUCCCAAUUCCAACUCUAAAAGAGUUUGCCAAGGCUCUGAAAACCAACACACAUGUGAGACAUUUCAGUCUUGCAGCCACCAGGAGCAAUGACCCCGUGGCUGUCGCAUUUGCAGAUAUGCUGAAAGUAAACAAAACUUUGAAGAGUUUAAAUAUGGAGUCCAACUUCAUCACAGGCACUGGGGUUUUAGCACUGAUCGAUGCUUUGAGAGACAAUGAGACCCUGACAGAGCUCAAGAUUGACAAUCAGAGGCAGCAGUUGGGCACAGCUGUAGAAUUAGAAAUGGCCAAGAUGCUUGAAGAGAAUACGAAUAUCCUUAAAUUUGGGUAUCAGUUCACACAGCAGGGACCCCGAACCAGGGCAGCCAAUGCUAUAACGAAAAACAACGACUUAGCUGUCCGUUGAAAUACCUCUGCCUACUCGCCAUCUCUCCAGCUAAGAAGCGUCACAGCUAUAACAGAAAAGAGUGCGCAAGAGGCGAAUUGAAGGAGACCACCAAUAAGAGUGCCAAGGGUAACCUUUGGAAGCCUGCAGAUGACCAGAGGCUCCUGUUGGUGUCAACAGAUGUAAAAACUUCCUGGGUAGAAGGGAAAAGACUGGAAAUCCUUUUUUUUAACUAUAUGCAUUAUUCUCCUAGCUUAAGAUAUUAUGUUUGAUUUGUAAAAUCAGUAAUGGGUAGUAUUUUAUAUUUUUAGCCUUUCUACUGAAAUCAUUUUAAUUUAGCUUAAUUGAAUGGUUCGUAUUUUUUAGAUAAAAAUGCAGUUAUAAGAAAAGUUUCAGGCCGGGCGUUGGUGGCACACGCCUUUAAUCCCAGCACUCGGGAGGCAGAGGCAGGCGGAUCUCUGUGAGUUCGAGACCAGCCUGAACUACCAAGCGAGUUCCAGGACAGCCUCCAAAGCCACAGAGAAACCCUGUCUCGAAAAACCAAAAAAAAAAAAAAAAGUUUCAGAAGUCAUGAAAGAAUAAUUUGAACACUUUGAGGACCAAUCUUUUUAAAGCAAAAAGGGACAUUGCUCACUCGGCGAUAUUAAUGUUGUUCCUUGUAGAUAAAGGAUAAAGCACAUGGUGGUUUCCUUUUUAAAAAACAAAAAAAAUGCUGGGUGGUGGUGGUGCACGCCUUUAAUCCCAGCACUCAGGAGGCAGAAGCAGGUGGAUCUCUGCGUUAGAGACCAGCCUGGUCUACAAGAGCUAGUUCUAGGACAGCCUCCAAAACCACAGAGAAACCCUGCCUUGAAAACUACCCCCCAAAAAAGCAAAAUAAAACCAUGAAUUUGGCAAGAGUUUGCUUUUUCCUUAUUAUGGAAGUAAAAUUUCAGAAUUUUAAAAGAUGGCUCAGGAUCUGAUAUAUCUACAUAAGCCAAAGCAGGUCUCCAGGAGAUGGACCAAUCCUCCUCUGGGAAACCAAACAGUCCUCUUCAUUGAAGGUUUCUGUACUCAUCCAGUGGGCCUCAGCUACACUGGGAUUUGUUUGUUUAUUUGCUAAUAGUCUUUAAUUCAGCCCUACUGCCUACCUUAUUUAAAAAUAUAGUUACAUCUAAGGUUACUACAGUAUUUCAUCUUGCUGUGGACAUUACAUUUCUGUAAAAGCCAAUGGUAAAAAGCAUCAAAGUAGAGAGGUUAUUUUCUUCCCCAUAAAAAGGCUCUUGACCAAUACUCAGUUACUUAGAGUAAAAGAAAAAGAGAAAGGUAAGGUGCUAUUAGAUAUAAGAGGGGGUUCAAACCCAAGAAACUCGCAAAACGGCCAUUAAACUGAUGAGUACUGUCAGUUAGAAACUAAAACAUGAGCUAACGAUGAUGGUCGCUCCUGUAAACCUAGCACUUGGGAAGCUGAGAAAGGACUAUUUCCAGAUGUUUGUAGCCAGCCUGAACUAUAUAGGAAAUUCCAAGUUAGCCUGGGCUACAGAUGUGAGAAUCUGUGUCAAGAAAAGAAAAACCUUGUACCACAUGGUAAGAUGUUCCAUAUGUGAUUCCACAGGUAUAAAGCAGCAUUGUAGUUAAUCCCCACUCCACAGCAUUCCAGCCAAUCACAAAAUCUGCUGUUCCUCAGAAGUCCAACUUUAGUAGAUGCUUCCUUUCAUCUUGUACUUUAAAAAAUUCUAUAGCAUAGGUUACCGUUAUCACCCAGGCAUUAGGGUGAGGAUUUGAGCAGUGUACUGAAGAGUGGCAUUGGGCGAGGCUGCACACUGAUACCUGCUUGAGGAUUUGGGUUUGUGUCUAUGCCCUGUCCCAGAGCAGCCCCUGCAGAAGGAGUAAGAGAGGCAUUCACAGCCACAAACAACAGCCAGGAGAAGGUCCAGUGAGGCAUGACAAAUCGAGUUUUGCUUAUACCACUUCAGUUUUGUAAUACAUUAUAUAACUGAAGAAAAUACUUCUUUCUAAGUAACUUAUGUAUGAACUUAUCCAAUUAAAUAGAUACAUUUUAAGAGUUAUUAUGGAGGCCAGGCAUGGUGGCACAUACCUUUAAUCCCAGCAGUAGAGAGGCGGAAUCAGGCGGAUGUCUUUGAGUUAUAGGACAGCCAGAGCUAUUACACAGAGAAACCCUGUCUUGAAAAAAAAGAAUUAUAAUGGAAAACAGUGUUUACCUUGAUCUUUAAAAGUCUGGCACCUCUUGACUUUUUAUUAAUUCGGUAUUUUCAAAUUCCUGAGAUUUUUUUAUGAUAUAGUAAUAAAUUAAGACAGUUUUAAUUAUAAGCCAGCGAUUUUCUAAACCCUUGAAGUUUAUGUCAAAUUAAAUGGUUAUCUAAGAAUGACAUUCACAUUUUAAAAAUUGCUCUUUUAAAAAUUGCCCAUUUCAUAAAACUGUGUAUUUGUAUUUGUCUUGUUAUAAUUUUCAGUAUGUCUAUAUCAAAUUGUAUACAUUAAACUCAAUGUUAGUCUCUAAUAUUAAUACCUUGAAAGUAGAUUUUGGUGCUAUAUACUUCCUAUAGCUGAAACCUACCGGAGUUUAAAGAAUAAGUAAAAUACAUUUUUCUAAAGGUGCCUGUCAUUUCAAAGACCAAAUAAACAUUUUGUGUUAAACAUA
This is an RNA transcript of Mesocricetus auratus (golden hamster), 3867 nucleotides long. It is a transcript of the gene named tropomodulin 3, with no coding region annotated. The transcript is spliced from 11 exons. The record is from RefSeq and is a predicted model, not a curated record. Lineage: Eukaryota; Metazoa; Chordata; Mammalia; Rodentia; Cricetidae.